RNAcentral lists this ribosomal RNA (762 nucleotides) under uncultured Ascomycota. RNAcentral's name for it is "LSU rRNA". It matches the Rfam family "Eukaryotic large subunit ribosomal RNA", at positions 399 to 1184 of the family's 3401-position model. The record is from RNAcentral. Lineage: Eukaryota; Fungi; Ascomycota.
GUGAAAUUGUUGAAAGGGAAGUGCUUGCAGCCAGACGUGCCCGUAGUUGCUCAUCGGGGGUUCUCCCCCGUGUACUCUUCUAUGGGCAGGCCAGCAUCAGUCCGGGCGGUUGGAGAAAGACCUGUGUCAUGUAGCUGUUUUCGGGCAGUGUUAUAGGGCAGGUGGAAUGCAACCAGCCUGGACUGAGGUCCGCGCAUCUGCUAGGAUGCUGGCGUAAUGGCUGUAAGCGGCCCGUCUUGAAACACGGACCAAGGAGUCUAACAUCUAUGCGAGUGUUUGGGUGUCAAGCCCGAGCGCGUAAUGAAAGUGAACGGAGGUGGGAACCUUUUAGGUGCACCAUCGACCGAUCCUGAUGUCUUCGGAUGGAUUUGAGUAAGAGCAUAGCUGUUGGGACCCGAAAGAUGGUGAACUAUGCCUGAAUAGGGUGAAGCCAGAGGAAACUCUGGUGGAGGCUCGCAGCGGUUCUGACGUGCAAAUCGAUCGUCAAAUUUGGGCAUAGGGGCGAAAGACUAAUCGAACUAUCUAGUAGCUGGUUCCUGCCGAAGUUUCCCUCAGGAUAGCAGUAACGUUUUCAGUUUUAUGAGGUAAAGCGAAUGAUUAGAGGCCUGGGGGUUGAAACAACCUUCACCUAUUCUCAAACUUUAAAUAUGUAAGAAGUCCUUGUUUCUUAAUUGAACGUGGACAUUUGAAUGUAUCGUUACUAGUGGGCCAUUUUUGGUAAGCAGAACUGGCGAUGCGGGAUGAACCGAACGCGGGGUUAAG